RNAcentral lists this ribosomal RNA (874 nucleotides) under Salinicola salarius. RNAcentral describes it as "bacterial SSU rRNA". It matches the Rfam family "Bacterial small subunit ribosomal RNA", at positions 74 to 945 of the family's 1533-position model. The record is from RNAcentral. Lineage: Bacteria; Pseudomonadati; Pseudomonadota; Gammaproteobacteria; Oceanospirillales; Halomonadaceae.
GCUUGCUCCCAUGGUGGCGAGCGGCGGACGGGUGAGUAAUGCAUAGGAAUCUGCCCGGUAGUGGGGGAUAACGUGGGGAAACCCACGCUAAUACCGCAUACGUCCUACGGGAGAAAGCGGGGGAUCUUCGGACUUCGCGCUAUCGGAUGAGCCUAUGUCGGAUUAGCUAGUUGGUAAGGUAAUGGCUUACCAAGGCGACGAUCCGUAGCUGGUCUGAGAGGAUGAUCAGCCACACUGGGACUGAGACACGGCCCAGACUCCUACGGGAGGCAGCAGUGGGGAAUAUUGGACAAUGGGCGAAAGCCUGAUCCAGCCAUGCCGCGUGUGUGAAGAAGGCUUUCGGGUUGUAAAGCACUUUCAGCGAGGAAGAAAGCCUGUCGGUUAAUACCCGAUAGGAACGACAUCACUCGCAGAAGAAGCACCGGCUAACUCCGUGCCAGCAGCCGCGGUAAUACGGAGGGUGCGAGCGUUAAUCGGAAUUACUGGGCGUAAAGCGCGCGUAGGUGGCUUGGCACGCCGGUUGUGAAAGCCCCGGGCUCAACCUGGGAACUGCAUCCGGAACGGCCAGGCUAGAGUGCAGGAGAGGAAGGUGGAAUUCCCGGUGUAGCGGUGAAAUGCGUAGAGAUCGGGAGGAAUACCAGUGGCGAAGGCGGCCUUCUGGACUGACACUGACACUGAGGUGCGAAAGCGUGGGUAGCAAACAGGAUUAGAUACCCUGGUAGUCCACGCCGUAAACGAUGUCGACUAGCCGUUGGGACCUUUAAGGACUUAGUGGCGCAGUUAACGCGAUAAGUCGACCGCCUGGGGAGUACGGCCGCAAGGUUAAAACUCAAAUGAAUUGACGGGGGCCCGCACAAGCGGUGGAGCAUGUGGU